GCAGUCGAACGGGCUCUUCGGAGCCAGUGGCGCACGGGUGAGUAACACGUAACUGACCUACCCCCAAGUCGCGGAUAACUGGCCGAAAGGUCAGCUAAUACGUGAUGUGAUGCCCCUUUUCUGGAGGGUCAUUAAAGGUUUACUGCUUGGGGAUGGGGUUGCGUUCCAUCAGCUAGUUGGCGGGGUAAAGGCCCACCAAGGCAACGACGGAUAGCCGGCCUGAGAGGGUGGCCGGCCACAGGGGCACUGAGACACGGGUCCCACUCCUACGGGAGGCAGCAGUUAGGAAUCUUCCACAAUGGGCGAAAGCCUGAUGGAGCGACGCCGCGUGAGGGAUGAAGGUUCUCGGAUCGUAAACCUCUGAAUCAGGGACGAAAGACGCGUAAGCGGGAUGACGGUACCUGAGUAAUAGCACCGGCUAACUCCGUGCCAGCAGCCGCGGUAAUACGGAGGGUGCAAGCGUUACCCGGAAUCACUGGGCGUAAAGGGCGUGUAGGCGGUUAUUUAAGUCUGGUUUUAAAGACCGGGGCUCAACCCCGGGAGUGGACUGGAUACUGGAUGACUUGACCUCUGGAGAGGGAACUGGAAUUC
RNAcentral lists this ribosomal RNA (591 nucleotides) under Deinococcus sp. RNAcentral describes it as "bacterial SSU rRNA". It matches the Rfam family "Bacterial small subunit ribosomal RNA", at positions 57 to 669 of the family's 1533-position model. The record is from RNAcentral. Lineage: Bacteria; Thermotogati; Deinococcota; Deinococci; Deinococcales; Deinococcaceae.